GACGAACGCUGGCGGCGUGCCUAAUACAUGCAAGUCGAGCGAAGUUUUUCUGGUGCUUGCACCGGAAAAACUUAGCGGCGAACGGGUGAGUAACACGUAAAGAACCUGCCUCAUAGACUGGGACAACUAUUGGAAACGAUAGCUAAUACCGGAUAAUAGCAUUAACUGCAUGGUUGAUGUUUAAAAGUUGGUUUUGCUAACACUAUGAGAUGGCUUUGCGGUGCAUUAGCUAGUUGGUGGGGUAAAGGCCUACCAAGGCGACGAUGCAUAGCCGACCUGAGAGGGUGAUCGGCCACACUGGGACUGAGACACGGCCCAGACUCCUACGGGAGGCAGCAGUAGGGAAACUUCCGCAAUGGGCGAAAGCCUGACGGAGCAACGCCGCGUGAGUGAAGAAGGAUUUCGGUUCGUAAAGCUCUGUUGUUAGGGAAGAAUGAUUGUGUAGUAACUAUACACAGUAGAGACGGUACCUAACCAGAAAGCCACGGCUAACUACGUG
Molecule: ribosomal RNA, 499 nt
Filed under: uncultured bacterium
Lineage: Bacteria
Description: partial 16S ribosomal RNA
Rfam family: Bacterial small subunit ribosomal RNA
Source: RNAcentral